This 239-nucleotide long non-coding RNA is filed under the name Pelobates cultripes (western spadefoot toad). The record is from RNAcentral. Lineage: Eukaryota; Metazoa; Chordata; Amphibia; Anura; Pelobatidae.
CUACACAAAUCUUAUAUCAAAACAUUCAGCUAUCCCUGCUGCCACUAAAAAUGUCCAUGGCUAAGCCAUAGUCCUGAUAGUUUUCACAAUAUGACCAUUUGUUUGCAACUCACGCCGUCCAUUGACAUUCAUUGAAACUCCACUCUAGCCACCUCAAAUUUGAAGGGCAAUUUCUAAACUGCGACUGUGCCUUCAUUUUUAAUAUGUCAGAGACAUACUAUGCAUCAAAAUGUAGGUCU